This 253-nucleotide unclassified non-coding RNA is filed under the name uncultured Alphaproteobacteria bacterium. Its description in RNAcentral is "contains 16S-23S intergenic spacer region". It matches the Rfam family "Bacterial small subunit ribosomal RNA", at positions 524 to 776 of the family's 1533-position model. Lineage: Bacteria; Pseudomonadati; Pseudomonadota; Alphaproteobacteria. The record is from RNAcentral.
UACGAAGGGGGCUAGCGUUGUUCGGAAUUACUGGGCGUAAAGCGCGCGUAGGCGGUGUUCCAAGUCAGAGGUGAAAUCCCGGAGCUCAACUUCGGAAUUGCCUUUGAAACGGGGACACUCGAGUCCGAGAGAGGAUGGCGGAAUUCCUAGUGUAGAGGUGAAAUUCGUAGAUAUUAGGAAGAACACCGGUGGCGAAGGCGGCCAUCUGGCUCGGUACUGACGUUGAGGCACGAAAGCGUGGGGAGCAAACAGG